AGUUGAAACACGCUACCUACUUUUUCUCCUAAAAUCAUGGUAAAAACCACCCACUAUCUACAAUCUACAAAAAUUGCUUCUAGGUUUUCCUUAUAACCCACUCUGUAAUCCCCUUUGGAACGCAACGUUGAUCUCUCGCAACAUUGAUCUCUCUCCACCGAUAACCACCCUCUACCCCUAAAUUCUAGCAAUGGUGCUUUGUAUUUAAACCCACAUCCAACGAAAACCUUCAAAAUCAAUCCUCACUGGAGUACUAAUGUCGGUUCUCUAGGUCUACAAGAAACCCCAGAACCCUUAUGUUGUUUCACAUCCGUUUCUCCCUCUCUCUUCUCUUCCUCUCACGUCAAUGCAUACGAUCUGCUGUCCCCGGCCACCUUCAGAUGGUUUUGAAGAAUCAGUUGAUUUAAAAAGGUUCGCCAAUUCGAUUGCUGAAUUGUCCAAUCUCCUUUGUUCCGCUUUUACAUCUCAUCUAUCAGCCUCUUUGAGCAACAGUGUCAACAUCCAGGUUUAUGAUCUACAUUGCUCUUGGGUUAAAGUUGAAUCUAAAUUCUGAGGUUUAUAAUGUCGGACGAUGCCGAAAGAGAAUGAACUUGGGAAAAAAGGCUUCUUGAAGAUCAAUUGGAGCUCCAAUUACAGGAACAAAGUGAAUCAAUCACCGCCCUUGAUGAAGUGCUAGCGUCUGACCCCAAAAAUUCCGAAAUCCUCGAGAUUUGCAAGUUCUUAUUACAACAACGGUGUCGAUUUGGUACGAAGUGUCAUUCAUUACAAUGCAUUGUCACAUUGAUCUUCCAUUAUCAUCACUGAGAAAAUAUAAUCCCACAGUGAUGACUCAUUGGUUCGUCGGGUCCAAUGCGAGGGCUUUCUUUGGUAGGAAAACCGGAGUUUGGCGGGAAGCUGAGCUCGAGUUGUGGGAUGAGGAACUCAGAUCAGGCCGAGUUGUUUUAUGAGAUGAUGGUAUCUUCUUAAAUGUUGGACAUGAGCCUAUUUCUUUCUGCCUUAAAGAUUAGCAAGCGCACCUUGUAUCAUACAAGCUAAGUUCUAUGAUAUAUGGGGUGAAAAGAAGCGAGAUAAACUCUAUUAUUCAGGGAAUGCUCCUUGGCCUUCUUCUUUCAUCAAUGUUAUCCAUCUCUUUUUAGGGGUGUAAAAGUUUUUUUUCUUUAAACCACACAAAACGCUAUCCCUAUGUGCAUACUUGGUGGCUAUUAUAUAUGUAGCUUUGUUGUGGUUUUACAACAUUUCCAAGAACCGUAAGGUUGAGCGAAUUCUUCUCGGAAUACAUAACUAUCUUGUGGCAGUUUUAGUGUUUGUACCUUCACUUAUCUUCCAAGUGAUAUGGAAUCCCAAGCUAAGCUCAAUUACCCUACUUUUUCUAGAGGUGGCAAUGUGGGUGGGUUAGGUAAUGGGUCAAAACGAAAAGUCUUCCGUUCAAAAGAAAAAUAGCUCUUGCAUCAGUUUGGUGACACCAAGAAAUCUACAAAAGACCAGGAAAGGAUUGGCUAGGAGAGAUGAGGUGCAACCUGGUCAGCUUAGGGCUUUUGCCAGCUACAAUGUCUCUGGUAACUACGGGUUGUGGGAUAAUAAAAGUUGGGACUUCCUGUGGAAGAAGCUGGAUAAAAAACCUGGGACUUCCUGUGGAAGAAGCUGGAGAAAUGGAUAAUGGGAGUAAGACUCUUCUUUCGCUUAUUUCCUAAUUCUUAAAAUAAUUAAUCAUCAUUGAUUGUAUGCCUCGCGACCUUCAAGGCUUUACUAUUUGUUUCUACAGAAUUUAGAGGUGGCAAUACAGAUCCGUUUUGGUUAUGGGUUUGGGUUUCGGUUCUUCAACCAACAAAACCUGUUUACAACUUUACAUAACCAAACAAGGCAUGUAUUAAAGGGUUCUUUUGUGAUUCUUGGGUCGUGUCCCUCAUGUUCGUCCAUAACUGUUUGUUUGUUUAUUGUCUUAAAGCUAAUGAUUAUUAAAUCAUUUGUUGCAUGGUGUUGAAGAAAACCAUAUUCUUAUAUAGGCGGUGAUACCUCGACCUACAAAAAACUUUGUUAAUGGUAGCUGGGUAGGAUCGAGCUCUUGUCAGUCAUUUUUGGUCAAACAGUACUGGAUUUUGAUGGGUAUGCACCCAAUCCCGUUGUAAUAUUCACGACAGAGGGUCUAAGCACACACAUGGGGAAUACAAUGAGGCUUGGCUUUGGAAUAACUUUACUUCAAACUACUGGUCGUAUCACACCACAACGGUAUUUUCUUUUUUGCUCGACCAAGGCCGCAACAAAUUGAGGCAUGUGAAGUUAUAGUGGAAGAUUGGGAAAUUCAUGUACAAAUUGAAUGAAAAUAAGGUUCAAGCGUAGAUGUUGGAACCCUACUUUCAAACGAAAAACAUCGCUUGGGUUUUGGUUGAUGAGCAGAUAAAGCUACGCGCUUUCGAAUGGGCGGUGGUUAUGUCGCCGACAUCGAUUUGGGGCACAGCGGUGGUGGUCGAUGUUGGUAGGUGACACAGGUUUGUGGAAGAGCGACGGUGAUUUGUGGUGGUAAGCGGUGUGGAUGCCCUAAAAAUGGAUACUGGUGGAGUGGAUGACACAUGUGGGGCAUUGUUACACUGUUAGCGUAACCCGUCCACCGGACGGGUAUUAAACUAGUUGUUGGUGGUAGGAGUCAUAAAAUCGUGUUAUGUAGCUAAGCAACAGCGACCAAAACAGAGAAAAAUGGUAAAACAAAAAACACGAAUUUAUGCACCAAAUUAUUUACGUAACGUAAAAAGUAUACGAACUCAAAUGUAUACUUACACC
Long non-coding RNA from Helianthus annuus (common sunflower), 2775 nucleotides. RefSeq lists it as uncharacterized. The transcript has 13 exons. Lineage: Eukaryota; Viridiplantae; Streptophyta; Magnoliopsida; Asterales; Asteraceae. The record is from RefSeq and is a predicted model, not a curated record.